ACGAACGCUGGCGGCGUGCUUAACACAUGCAAGUCGAACGGAAAGGCCCUGCUUUUGUGAGGUGCUCGAGUGGCGAACGGGUGAGUAACACGUGAGUAACCUGCCCUUGACUUUGGGAUAACUUCAGGAAACUGGGGCUAAUACCGGAUAGGAGCUCCUGCUGCAUGGUGGGGGUUGGAAAGUUUCGGCGGUUGGGGAUGGACUCGCGGCUUAUCAGCUUGUUGGUGGGGUAGUGGCUUACCAAGGCUUUGACGGGUAGCCGGCCUGAGAGGGUGACCGGCCACAUUGGGACUGAGAUACGGCCCAGACUCCUACGGGAGGCAGCAGUGGGGAAUAUUGCACAAUGGGCGGAAGCCUGAUGCAGCAACGCCGCGUGCGGGAUGACGGCCUUCGGGUUGUAAACCGCUUUCGCCUGUGACGAAGCGUGAGUGACGGUAAUGGGUAAAGAAGCACCGGCUAACUACGUG
RNAcentral lists this ribosomal RNA (467 nucleotides) under uncultured bacterium. RNAcentral's name for it is "partial 16S ribosomal RNA". It matches the Rfam family "Bacterial small subunit ribosomal RNA", at positions 29 to 507 of the family's 1533-position model. The record is from RNAcentral.